UUUUUUUUUUUUUUUUUUUUAGGAAAAGAACUUUAAUUAUCAUCCUCACUUUACAAAUGAGAAUUGAGACUUGGGGCAGAGCUGAGACCAUAACCCAAGCCAUGGAUCUCCAAAAUUCAUGAGCAAAACCACCAUGUCCAUCAGGGGUCUUUAGGACAUAUAGAAAAGCAGCAAGAAGGGCAAACCCAUCAUCCCAAGAAACUAGUUUUAAUUUUGGCACACUUCUUUCUAAUCUUAUUUCUAUCCAUACAUUUUCUUGUCCCAUAUUCUUUAUCACUUAUUGUCAUUAUUAAGUUAUUAGAAAUUCUCCCAAAAUAUCAACUUUCAUGACCACAUACUGUUCCAGUGAGUGCAUAUACCUUAAUGUUCUACUUAAUGUUACACUUAUUUGGAUGUUUGGGCUAUUUUCAAUUUUUUGCUAUUUUAAAUAAUACUUUUAUAAAUAUCUUUGUGAAUUAAAUAUUUUCUCACUCUGGGAUUAUUUCUUUAUAAUCAUUAAAAUGGAAAGAGUAGGGCAAAGAAAAGAUAUGUUUAAACCACAUUGCCAAAUUUCUUUUUCAAAAUGGUUGCUUUAGAGGGCCUGGGUGGCUCAGUCCUGUAAGGGUCCAACUCUUGGUUUUGGCUCAGAUCAAUGCAGGCUUCUGAGAUCAACCCCUGCAUUGGGCUCCACACUCAUCUGGGAGUCUACUUGUCCUUCCCUCUCCUUCUGCUCCUCCUCAUGCUCUCUCUCUUAUAAAUAAAUAAAAUCUUUUUUUUAAAGGGCUUUACUAAUAUUUGGUGCCUGUUUCACCUUACCCAUACCAAACCUGAAUAUCGUAUUUUAGAAAUACAAAUUUCUUCAUUCAUUAUGUGAAAAGUGAUAUUUUAAACUGCAUUUCUUUGAUUGGAUUGUAUAUAAAGUUGAAAAUGUUUUCUGUGCUUGCUAAUCAGUUUUAUUUCACUCUUUUCACUAGUUUCCUAAGGUGGAAGCUUAGGUUUUUAUUUUAGAUCUUUCUUCUUUUCUAAAAACAUAUGCAUUUAAUGCUAUAAAUUUCCCCCUAAGCAGGUUGAUUUUGCUCUGUCCCACAAAUUUUGAAAAACUGUACUUUUAUUUUUCCUUAAUUCAGAAUAUUUUAAAUUUCCUUUGGCAUUUUUCUCUUUGGCUCAUGGGUUAUUUAGAGGUAUGUUGUUUAAUUUAUAGAUAUUUGUGGAGGCACCUGGGUGGUUCAGUCAGUUAAACAUCUGCCUUCAACUCCAUUCAUGAUCCCAGGGUCCUGGGAUUGAGCCCCAUAUUGGGCUCCCCGCUCAGACCAGAGCCUGCUUCUCCUUUCCUCUCUGCCCCUCCUCCUGCUCAUUCUUUCUCUCUCUCUCUCAAAUAAAUAAAUAAAUAAAUAAAUAAAUAAAUAAAUAAAAUCUUUUUUAAAAAGUUUCCGAUAUUUGGGAAUUUCCUAGCCAUCCUUCUGUUAUUUAUUUCUAGCUUGAUUCCACUGUGGUACAAGAAUGCAUUUUGUGGGCAGCCUGGGUUGCUCAGAGGUUUAGGGCCGCAUUCAGCCCAGGGCCUGAUCCUGGGGUCCCGGGAUCGAGUCCCAUGUCGGGCUCCCUGCAUGGAGCCUGCUUCUCCCUCUGCCUGCGUCUCUGCCCCUCUCUCUCUCUGUCUCAUGAAUAAAUAAAAUCUUAAAAAAGAAAAAGAAUGCAUUUUGUAUGAUUCCUAUUCUUUUAAAUUCGUUAAGAUAAAUUUUAUGACCCAAAUGUGGUCUAUUUUGGUGAGUUUGAGAAAAAUGUGUAUUCUGCUGUGGUUAGAUGGAGUAUUUUAUAAAUGUCCACUCAAUUAAACUGAUCUGUUAAAAUCAUCUAUAUCCUUACUGUUUUCACUCUUCUCAAAUUAUACUCCAUUUUAGCCACUGGUGAAAAGACAACAGAAGAGAAAAGUCAAUAAAAAGCUAAUUUAUACUUAAAGCUUAUAUUGUAGGAAACAGAUUUCCACAUAUGCUUUCCAUGAAGUUUUUAGUUAUUGUCUAUUACCUCUUUCUAACAAUGAAAAGGAUGUAUGAGAGGAAAAGCUGGGUGAGAGGGUGAGCCAGAAACACAGAAGAAAAUGUUGAAAGGAAACACCAGUCACGUCACUAGUCUGAGAUUUUUUCCAUAUAUUCUGAAUGAUGCUUUCGUGCCUACUGAAAAAAAAAAAAGUAUUACCAAGGAUUUUAUCUUUUUUUUUUUUUUGGUAAGAUUUUAUUUGUUGAUUUGAGAGAGAGAGAGAGAGAGAGAGAGAGCCCACGUGUGCUCAUGCAUGGGGAGGGAAGGAGCAGAAGGAGAUGGGAGGGGAGGGAGAGAAGGAGGGAGAGAGACAAGCAGACUCCAUACUGAGCACAGAGUACCAUGUGGGACUUGAUCCCACAACCCCAAGACCAUGACCUGAGCAGAAACCAAAGGUUGAACACUCAACAAUGAGCCACCCAGGCACCCCACCAAGGUCUUUAUAUUUAUCAGUCUUCUUGAGAAUUCAUAAUUUUUAAUGAAAAAAGUGAUAAUGUAACACUGAAAAAGAGCAUCUGUCAUCUUGUGUUUGGUACUGAGCCUAUUUUCAUUGUAAAAUUUAUCAAACCUAUGGUUAUAAAGUUGGAAAGGUACUGCAGUAGAGAAAGUUCAGCUGAUUACAUAGUAUUAUAGUUUUAAGAGCUGCUUCAAAAGCAAUCAGACUAUUUGGAAAAUCUUUUUCAUAACAAAUGUGUUCUUCCUUUAAAAUGUAAACACUGAGCCAAUCUUAGAAGCAAACAUUGACUGCAUACUUAAGUCAGUUGUUGUAAGUAUUUUAGUUACAACAAUGCAAAAACGUGAAGCAUAGGUUUACUUUUUAACUCCAACCCUGUUCAAAGAUCACUUAUUGGCCUUUGAAGGAACAGGUGGCAUGUCUGUUAUAGUUUAACAAAUGGCCUUUGGGUGAGGUAUAGUCAUUUAGAUACCUCUGGAUGCUUUGGAUGCUCUCAUGUGUGGCAGGGUGCAUUUGCUAAAAGCAUUCUCCUCUCUAGAUCUGGAAACCUAGAUUCUAUAUCUUAGGGAUGGGGGCAUGUAUGUAUUCCAGACUUAUCUUUUGAGUCAUAAAUGAAAAAUGCCAUCUUGCAACUGAGAUUCCUUUGCCAAGAAAUCACAUUCUUAAUUUCUUAAUAUUGACAUAAAUAUUCCAGUUCUUGGUAAAUCAGAUAGCCUUCUGUUUGAAGUAUAUAUCUGAGCAUUUUAUCCUUUCCAUAACAGAGUUUACAUAGAUCUUUUUGUUCUAUCAGAUUUUUUUUUCUAUAAGUUUAAUUAUACCAAACUCCCCAAAGAAUUUCAGAUUCACCUCAAAUACCAGCAACUCAAUUCUGUUCUAUUACUCACUUUUGUUGGGUUGGGUUGAAUUGGAAUUAUCUUAUGUUUAUAAUUAAUUUUAUGAAUGUUUACAUCUUUAGGAAAUUGAAUUUUUAUGAACAUGGUAUAAUCCUCCAUGUAUUUAUGUCCUGUGUUAGAUAUUUCAAUAGAGUCUUAUAAUUUUCUUCAUAAAAAUCUUACCAAUCUUUUGUUGGACUCACUCCUAGACACUGUUUUUGAUUGUUUCUAUGAAUGUUAUCUUUUUAAAAUGAUAUUUUUAAAGUCUCUGUUGUUGGUAUAUUGGAAUGUAAUUGAUUGUCUUUGUAUAUUGAUCUUAUAUCUAGCAACCUUAUUAGAUUUUGGUUCUAAUAAUUUGCAGGCUUUUGGAUUCUUUUGUGUGAACAACUGUAUCAUAUGCAUAUACAUUCAGUUUGUUUCUUCUUUUCCAAUCCUUAUAACUUUUAUUUGUUUUUCUUUGCUAAUUACACUGACUAGAACAUUUAGUACAUUUUGAAUAGUCACAAUAUUAGAAGGCUGGUGAACUUCCUUAUUAUCUUAUGAGGUAAGCAGUGUGUUUAAAAAAUAUUUUUCUUCUUUUUUUAGCCAACACUAAGUGUUUGUACUGAAGGAAUUAAAGUUGUCUAAUCU
RNAcentral lists this long non-coding RNA (3969 nucleotides) under Canis lupus familiaris (dog). RNAcentral describes it as "lncRNA (ENSCAFG00845023891.1)". Lineage: Eukaryota; Metazoa; Chordata; Mammalia; Carnivora; Canidae. The record is from RNAcentral.